AACGAACGCGGGCGGCAGGCCUAACACAUGCAAGUCGAGCGAGGACUUCGGUCAUAGCGGCUGACGGGUGAGUAACGCGUGGGAACGUGCCCUUUGCUUCGGAAUAGCCCUGGGAAACUGGGAGUAAUACCGGAUUAGCCCCGCGUGGGAAAGGUGGAUCGGCGAAGGAUCUGCCAAGGUUUGGUGAGCUAGUUGUGGGGGUAGUGGGCUACCAAGGCUGGUGGCGUUAGCGGGUCCGAGGGGAUGAUCAUCUACACGGUGAGUGAGGCACGUCACACACACCGGCGCUGAGACACGGCCCAGACUCCUACGGGAGGCAGCAGUGGGGGAUCUUAGAAAAUGGGGGAAGUCCUGAUCUAGCCAUGGCGCGUGAGCGAUGAAGGCAUUAGGGUUGUAAAGCUCUUUCAGCUGGGAAGAUAAUGACGGUACCAGCAGAAGAAGCCCCGGCUAACUACGUG
RNAcentral lists this ribosomal RNA (458 nucleotides) under uncultured bacterium. RNAcentral describes it as "partial 16S ribosomal RNA". It matches the Rfam family "Bacterial small subunit ribosomal RNA", at positions 29 to 507 of the family's 1533-position model. The record is from RNAcentral.